This 503-nucleotide ribosomal RNA is filed under the name uncultured bacterium. RNAcentral describes it as "partial 16S ribosomal RNA". It matches the Rfam family "Bacterial small subunit ribosomal RNA", at positions 30 to 523 of the family's 1533-position model. The record is from RNAcentral.
AUUGAACGCUGGCGGCAGGCUUAACACAUGCAAGUCGAGCGGAGUGAUGGUGCUUGCACUAUCACUUAGCGGCGGACGGGUGAGUAAUGCUUAGGAAUCUGCCUAUUAGUGGGGGACAACAUCUCGAAAGGGAUGCUAAUACCGCAUACGUCCUACGGGAGAAAGCAGGGGAUCACUUGUGACCUUGCGCUAAUAGAUGAGCCUAAGUCGGAUUAGCUAGUUGGUGGGGUAAAGGCCUACCAAGGCGACGAUCUGUAGCGGGUCUGAGAGGAUGAUCCGCCAAACUGGGACUGAGACACGGCCCAGACUCCUACGGGAGGCAGCAGUGGGGAAUAUUGGACAAUGGGGGGAACCCUGAUCCAGCCAUGCCGCGUGUGUGAAGAAGGCCUUAUGGUUGUAAAGCACUUUAAGCGAGGAGGAGGCUCUUUUGGUUAAUACCCAAGAUGAGUGGACGUUACUCGCAGAAUAAGCACCGGCUAACUCUGUGCCAGCCGCCGCAGUAA